Molecule: long non-coding RNA, 1972 nt
Organism: Odocoileus virginianus texanus
Lineage: Eukaryota; Metazoa; Chordata; Mammalia; Artiodactyla; Cervidae
Source: RefSeq, a predicted model, not a curated record
GCUGGACACAACUGAGCGACUGAACUGAACUGAUUCUGGCUUCCAAGAUGCUUCUGGGUCAUCUUUUACAUUUUCUGCUCUGGACCUAGAAUCAGCCAUUUCUCCAGAAACCCUGGCUGCUUUUGUGGGAAGUACUGACAGAAGACCACAGUCUGAGGACUACUGAUGAUCAUUUCUGCUGGGUUGGUUCUUGCUUCCAGACCUUUUCAGAGAUUCCUGUUUCUUCAGGAUACCAGGAAUGAAUCAGAAUAUCACAUGAUCACUUACUUGUUUUAUUCCACAUCUCUCUCUCUCUUUCAUACACACACACCAGCCUAGGAAUAACAAGACCAAUACUCUCAUCACCUUGAUGGUUCCUGAAAACAGUGAAACAUUUUGCUCAUGCUCUCCCCCAUUGUCUGUUCAUUUCUUUUGGAGAGCUGUAUUAUAUCUACACAGAGCUUACAGCCACCACAUACAAUACCUUCACCUGUAUCAACUGUCACUUGGAUUUAAUUCUACAAGUAAACCUAUACUUAAUGCUCACCACUAGUCCUUGUAUUAGGGUCUCUCUGGUUAUUUCGGUUGUUUGAAGCUUAUUUUCUAGCAGAUUUUUCAGGUAGAGCUCAAAAGUCCCUGAAUUACUGCAAGUGGAUAGGUUUCUCCACAGCUUUUACACUCGGAAAUCAAUUUGGCUGGAUGUAAAAAUCCUCGGCUGACUUUCUCCAUCCUUGGAUAUCUUAAAUGUGUAACUCUUUUUCUCUGGCAUAGACUAUUCCUGUUGGAAAGUCUGAUGAUAUUCUGACUUACUCUCCCUUGUAAGUGGCUUCAUCUUUUUUGCUUGAAUUCUCAAAGGACUUUCCUGUCUUUAAAGUCCAAUAGUUUUACUGAAAUAUGCUUCGGUGUUGGUCAUUCUGGGUCAGUUUUCUUAGCUAUGGUGUAUGCUCUUCUAAUAUGCUGCUUCAAAUCUUUAUUUACUCUUUUUUAAGACCAUGAAAAAUGUAAAUAUAAACUGUUCUCAAAUAUCCAGGGAUCAGUGCCUCAGCACUUAUGGAAACUACACUUUUUCCUUCCUAUGCUUUCCAUAUCCAAACAUCAAGUCAUUUGCCAAGAAUGAAUAUAAAUAGGGUCAUUUAUGAAAACCAGCACCCCCAAAUAUCUACAAACAUGAAAGUAUUGUUAUUAAAAAACAACCCUGCUUCAGGUUAAAAAUAUUUGUCAGGCUAAAAAGUAACAUAUUUAUGAUACCUUAUUUCUUAAAAAAACUAUAAUAAUAUACUUUUUUGCUGGCUAUUCAUAUUUAGUCUUUUUGUAACCAAUCUGAUAAGUAAAAAAGCAGUACUUCACUAUUAUUUAACAUUUAUCUGAGUGAAUUUAAAGGCAUUUUUACUAGACUGUCAGUACCUGGACUUGCUUUCCUGAGAAUGUUAUCGUCCUAUCCUUUGUAUAUUUUAAAAUUUCUUUUCAGAAAUUUUAAGUAUUCUACUGACUUUGUUUACAGUUUCUUUGGUCAUACAAAUCUAUUUUUUUUUACUGCAAAAUCAUUUGUCUUUUUUUUUUAAGUGCCUUUGCAUUACCAGUCAUGGUUCAGAAGGAAUUCCUAGAUUGUACAUGAAGUCUCCUGUUUUCUUGAAGAAUUUUCAUGUGAUAAUUUAAAAUUUUAGGUUGUUUAAUCUUAGAAUUUAAUUUUUGUACAUGAUGUAAGUUUUACUUUCUUCCAGGUGGAUAUUCAGUUAUGUCCAAUACCAUUCAUUAAAUAAUCCAUCUUCUCCCCUCUGAGUUUAAAUAUGUUAUCUUUUAUGCUAGGACAUGGCUUUGAAUGAUCCUCUGCCACUGAUGGAGCUAUCCAUUUUUAUUCAAAUUUUGUAAUGUUUGAUAACAGGCAGCAUUAUAAUAUGUUCUAAUAUCAAGUGGUGGAAGUUUCCUAUUGUGUGUAUGUGUUCAGUCACUCACUUGUGCCCAACUCUUUGUAUUCCUGUGGACUGUAGCCUGC